GAUGAACGCUGGCGGCGUGCCUAAUACAUGCAAGUCGAGCGAACAGACGAGGAGCUUGCUCCUCUGACGUUAGCGGCGGACGGGUGAGUAACACGUGGAUAACCUACCUAUAAGACUGGGAUAACUUCGGGAAACCGGAGCUAAUACCGGAUAAUAUAUUGAACCGCAUGGUUCAAUAGUGAAAGACGGUUUUGCUGUCACUUAUAGAUGGAUCCGCGCCGCAUUAGCUAGUUGGUAAGGUAACGGCUUACCAAGGCGACGAUGCGUAGCCGACCUGAGAGGGUGAUCGGCCACACGGGAACUGAGACACGGUCCAGACUCCUACGGGAGGCAGCAGUAGGGAAUCUUCCGCAAUGGGCGAAAGCCUGACGGAGCAACGCCGCGUGAGUGAUGAAGGUCUUCGGAUCGUAAAACUCUGUUAUUAGGGAAGAACAAAUGUGUAAGUAACUAUGCACGUCUUGACGGUACCUAAUCGGAAAGCCACGGCUAACUACGUG
This 497-nucleotide ribosomal RNA is filed under the name uncultured bacterium. RNAcentral describes it as "partial 16S ribosomal RNA". It matches the Rfam family "Bacterial small subunit ribosomal RNA", at positions 28 to 507 of the family's 1533-position model. The record is from RNAcentral.